CAUAUUAUUAGUAGUAGUACUAUUAUCACAAUUGUAUUAUUAUUAUUAUUAUUGUUAUUAUUAUUAUUUUUCCUGUCUUAUUAAACUGUCUUUAUCUCAACUCACGGGCUUCACUUUCCAUUUCUCUCCCCUGUCCCAGAAAGGGAGGGGGGAGGGUGAGCGAACGGCUGCGUGGUGUUUAGCUGCCGGCUGGGUUAAACCACGACAAUAUAUUUUCUCCCCAUUCCUCUUUGAGGAGGGGGAGUGAGAGAGCGGUUGUGGUGGAGCUCGGCUGCCCACCUGAGUAAAACCACCACAGUCUGUACCUCCAGUCUGUACAGUUUCACCUAGUUGGAGUUACUUUAUAUAAGAUGCAAGAUGCAAGGGCAGCGAUGCAGAUUAACAUGUAAGAAAAUACAGAACCUUCACAUUAGGAUCAACCAGCCUGAGCACUCCUUUAGCAUUGAAAAUGGGCCUCUCUUAAUACCCAUGUGUGGGAGGGACUGGGAAGUUCCCAGUAAGCCUACUGCUGCUGAGCAGAGUCUGAAUAAUAAAGCACUAGAAGUUGUGACCAGUGAAAGAAGCAAAUUAAGGUAGCCAUCACAACUGCAGGCAUCUGUCUGUAAUUUCUUGUCUGCAUCAUUGCUUCAAGCUCCGGAAAGUACCCUGGCAACCACCCGUUGUAGCAUGAAACCUGUAAUUACUUCAUGUACUAUACAGAAGAAAAGACAGGCCACUACAAGGUUAACAAAUCAAGCUCUGCUAAACAAAUAGGAAUGGAGCAGCUCUUGCAGGAUGGGAAAUCCCUCACUGUGUUCAUACGUGUUUGACCGUCUCACACAAUGUUCAGUUUGAAACAUCUCAGACCUGAUGUACUUCUUGCCAUUCAGAGCUGCAAUAUGGGUCCUCUGGCCAGUGAGAGUGGGAUGACUUCUUUCUCCUGGCCAUCAAAUUCCCUCCAGUGGAAGUCUGUCUGCAUCCAGGAGCCUUAUUGUCACCUGGACAAAGAACUGAUGCCAGACUGUGAUCAUGGCAAGUUCACUCUGAAUCACGCCUUGUCAUGACUUAAGGUAAGAUGCUAAUUAUUCAUCUAAGCUCUUCUAUGUGUACUUAAUGUACUUAGCAAUGUAUUAUACU
This 1116-nucleotide long non-coding RNA is filed under the name Cairina moschata (Muscovy duck). RNAcentral's name for it is "domestica (muscovy Duck (domestic type)) lncRNA (ENSCMMG00000007829.1)". The record is from RNAcentral. Lineage: Eukaryota; Metazoa; Chordata; Aves; Anseriformes; Anatidae.